RNAcentral lists this unclassified non-coding RNA (6330 nucleotides) under Mizuhopecten yessoensis (Yesso scallop). Its description in RNAcentral is "protein yippee-like 1, transcript variant X1". The record is from RNAcentral. Lineage: Eukaryota; Metazoa; Mollusca; Bivalvia; Pectinida; Pectinidae.
CUCAUUUCCGCAUAGACCGAAGACAUAAACACUGGCGACCUCGCAGUCUGGAGAACGAUCCUUGAGGAAGUCAUAGCGAUAGUUAGUCCAUGUAACAGCGAAUAUUUCAUGUGAAAUCCUAAAGAUUAAUAUCCAGUGAAUUCUUCUGGCCAUCUUAAGAAAAGGGUUGGCGGUGAGCUUGAGUAUAACCUUGCGUUUGGGAAGGUAGACGUCCAGUUACCCAGCCUGAGGAGGGAUACACGCCCAGAGCCACCUGAUCGUCACAGUGGCUGGAGAGUAGACAUUGUACUUAUAGACGCUGUGGUGGUAUAGCUGCCAUAUGACAGCAAAUCUGACAUUGGUCAUUAAGAAGAGGUUGAGAAGAAUUGAAAGGUGAUAAAAGAAAAAAACACAACUUUGACAAAAGUUUUCAUGUAUUUCAUCACGCAAAAUGGUGAAAACAUUUCAAGCUUACCUGCCGAACAAAUGCCACCGUACCUAUAGCUGUGUGCACUGUCGAGCGCAUCUGGCCAACCACGACGAGCUGAUCUCAAAGUCAUUCCAGGGAAGCCAGGGAAGAGCAUACCUGUUCAACUCUGUGGUAAAUGUGGGAUGUGGGCCAGCGGAGGAGAGAGUGCUACUCACCGGCCUUCAUGCUGUCGCCGACAUAUUUUGCGAAUGCUGCAAAACCACCUUAGGGUGGAAAUAUGAACAUGCAUUUGAAUCUAGUCAGAAGUACAAGGAGGGAAAGUUUAUCAUAGAGCUGGCACAUAUGAUCAAGGACAAUGGAUGGGACUGAUAGAAAUGGGGGAGGGUAUACCUCCCUUCUCUCUUGUGAUGGGGGGAUUGGACCUGUGAGUAAGGAAUUCCCCCCUGAUCAUGGACUGGCCUCAUUAUUCUACAACUUGUGCUAAUAGGACCAACACAUAGGAUCACACAGAACUGGAGUCCUCUGUGAAAGUCAAUUUAUAUAUAAAGUUUUGUAGAGCUGUGAAAGACUUGGAUGACAUGUGGAGGAUAUUUUAAAAGGAUGACCCUUGUAAUAAGGUCUUUAGUGACCUUUGAGUAAGGUCAGUUAGAAAUGAGGACCUUAGACACAGAUUCAUGCUUCGUUGGUCUUGACCUGAUGACGCUUAUAGCACUGGCCACGUUUGAUUUUUUUCAAGAUUUGUGGCAUCAUGGCUAAUCAUGAUGUGUUCAAGGCAAGAUAUAUUCCAGCAUAAGGAAGCAAGGACUGAAUUGACCUUGACUGGUGACCUUGUGAAACCCUGAUGUCACAACCUCUACCUUUACUGUGGACCAUGUCACAUUGGUGUGACCUUGUUACCAAUUGUGUAGGCUUGUUUUGUAUAUUGUUGUAAGAUGCCCCACACAUUGUCAGUGUGGCUAUAUAUGUGUCUAACUUCCUAUAACAAUAUGUAAGCUAGUUUUGUAUCUAUAAGUAAACGUGUGCAAAGGUACCUAACUUUAUUAAGUCAUCAAUGAUGUUUCCUGGCCAAGUGUGAGUGUGUCAAAUCAAAUCAGCUCCAUAUAUUGUGUUUUGUUGACACCGUUCCAGUGCAGACUGAUAUUUUAUUUUAAUUUGUCGAUUAUAAAGUGCAGACUUCUUUAGAUUCCACGAAUUUUGUGAUCAAGAAAACAUAGAGUCUGGUAGUUAUAGUAAGGUGUAUAUGUGAAUGGUUUAUCUUAACAUGAAACCGCUAGAUUCUGGCCACCAGUAUAAAACUACUAUUGUAUUGUUUUUAUAACCAAUGUUGCCUGUCUCAUUUCGCAUCAGUGAUUGAGAAACAUGGAUAGAGAUCUUUGCUUGUCAUAAUGAUAAAUCAGUUCUGUUAGAACAACUUAUCAAAAUAUCUGUAAAACUUAAUUCAAACACUGUUGAUUUAUUCAAAACAUCCAAACAUGAAGGUAUCAUAAUGGAUUGGAAACAUCUUAUAUUUUACUUACAUCUGUUGUCAUGCCAUCAACUGUCUUAGGUACAAGUGUUGUCAUGGUAACAGCUUUUAUAUCACAUCUCAUAAUAAAUGUGCGUUAGAGUUAAGCACAUGAUUGAUCACAUGACAGUUAACAAUCAUAUACUGGUAGGCUAAACAGGAUUUUACAAAAUCUCACAGAACAACAGAAAUUAAUAGAUCAUCAAUGAUUUAUUUAAUUUUUGAUUCCAAACACUUUUCUCCUGUGAGAAAGCCCACUGUCUGUUUCAUAACUUCAUUAUAUAUUGAUAUUAGAUUACUGUUUGUGUUUGGUUAGCUAGGUAGACAGUGUCCUUAUUUCACCAACAUUACUUCAUUUACAUUGUAACUAUUUUUUCUUGACUUAAUUAAGCAAUGCUGUGUCUAUCAGAAGAUUUAAGUUUUAAGGAAAAAUCCUUGUUUAGAUGUUUCAUGAAUUCUUGAUCCUGACUUUCUGUAGAAGUGUUGGCCUAAGUGUGUGCGAUUUAAUGCUGUCGUACCUCUUGUUCUUUGGAGCAGUGAGAAUCUGUGAUAACUUUAUGUAUAUGAUGUGAGUGAGGAUUUGGGAUUAACAUAACAGUUGGUAGGUACCGAUCUCGUACUCAUGAAAUUCUCAGGUAAAAUACAUCUUUUUGCUAUAAAGGAGGCAAAAUAUUAUUAUUUCAGUAUGUAAAACAAAUGUUAUUUAGUCAUUAUAAGAGAGUUUGUGGGAAAGGGGGCAUAACUCUCAAAACUGCCAUGAAAUGUUAGUGCUAAAUUUAAACUAUUGCACUGCUAGAGUAUAAUGUGUUGGUACAGUCGUACGUGUACUUUAAAACAUAGUGCUAUAUUGAAGCAAAAUCCUUGAUCACUUACGUUGUAAAGUUUAUUUUUUUAAAUUCUAUGUUAUUUGGUGAUUCAUUCUGGCAUUUCUAAUUUUUGGAUUUCAAGUACAGUACACUUUGUCUAAAAGUAAAACUGACUCUGUUCAAUCAAGAUUUUUGUCUAAACUGGCUAAUGAAUUUGGUUCCAACAAUGAAAAUGCAAGUACAAAUUAGUAAAAUGUUGUGGUAUCAGUUUGUUUAGCUUACAGAGUGAACACUGUACAUAAAAAAUUAUAAUAAGUCUUAAUUAUAAGUAGUUUAUAGGACUUUCUACUAGAGAUUGUAUCCAAAAUUUAUUUUACUGACAUGACACAAUGACUAAGUCAGAACAUCUGUGAUUAAACAAACAGGUCACUUUUGAGAAGUGAUACUAAAAGCCAUAUCAUGUUGUUAUAUAUAUGUUAAGUGUGUUUUAAUGUGUUCGAAUGCAUAAAUCAUGUAAGAUUGAAAAAAAAAAAACCCACAUUUAAAAGAAAUGUGUUUAUCACAAAACUCUUUGUAAAAGUUAUAAUCCUUUAUGCAUUUGAAAUUUUAACAAUUUCUCAUCUUUUCAUUAAUGGUUUCAUUAAAAAUAAAAACCCAUUAUUACAUUCAUUAUAAGACUAAUUCACUUGCUGACAUCAAUUGUAUGGUAUGUCCUUAGAGUAUAAUCUUGAUAAAGUUUUUAAGAAUAUUUCAAUGUAAUGAGAACUUCAUAUAAGUUAGGUCUGUAAACAUUUGUUAUAAGUUAGGUCUGUAAACAUUUGUUAUAAGUUAGGUCUGUAAACAUUUGUAAACCCUGAUUUCUUCUGUGUGCUUGUAGCGUUAUGACAGUUGUGUUCACCCGUAAUAGUGUAGACAAUGGCUGCUGGAAAAAUUAACUUUUUUAUUUCACAAGAAUGAAACAAAUUAUUUCAACUUAUAUUUUAUAUUUAACUCUUUUUGGCCCGAAUAUUAGCGCGCUAGGGGUCUUUAUGUGGGAGGAACUGGAGUACCCAGAGUAAAUACCUUUUCAUGUCCGAUCGGGGAAUCAAACCCUGGCGGCCUUGGUGAAAGGCGAGUGUGUUUUCCACUGUGCACCUGACCACCCUCAGACAUUGGCUGCUUGAAACACAUAAUAGUGAUCUACAUGAUGAAGAUAUGCUAAAAAAAGACAAAGUCAAGAAAAUGAUUUGUCCAGAGAAAAUAAAAAAGAACAGUGUAAGAACCAAUAUUAUUUCAAACAUCAUUUGUAAUAAAUAUACUGUAAUGCAUGUCCAAAUUUGGUUCAAGUUAAAUCGCUUGACUUGCUAUUUGUUAUAUUUCAAUAAUGUCAACAUUAGAUUAUCAAUUUUUGAAACAUUAUUUGAAAAAUUGCCAUAUGAAGUAUUAUAUUUUGAAAUGGAAGAUAUAGUUCGAGAUUCACUUUGAUGGUAUAGAUAGAUAUUGUGUUUUUUGUGAAGUUCCAUUGAUACUUGAUAAUUUGUUUGAUAGUUCAUUAUGUUCUGUUACCAUUUCUAGGUUUUGAGGAUUAAAAAACGAAAGUUACAAAUAUUAUAUUUUAAUUCCAUUAAUUUCAAAAACUGAAAUACCUUCACAUGCUAUUUAAUAAUCUGUGACAUUUAAAACGAAAAUGACAUAUAAUGCAAAAACAACAUACUGCUUAUAGAAAACCAUCCCCAAUUUUAAAACAAAUUCUGAUGACAACACAGCCAGUGUUUUUAAAGAUAGGUUAAUCUGUUUGAAUAAAAAUUACUUUAGGACCAUUUUUUUCAUAUUCUAUACAUGUAUAAAUGUAAGAUUGUAUUUGGUCUGGCAAUUCUGAGAAGCUUUUAAUUCUUUAGUCCUCAAAGUAAUAACUACUUAUGGUUAUUUUUCAAACAUCAUCGUAUGUUAUGCUUGGAUGCAAGUACUUCAUUCUUUAAAUAUGCUAUAAUGAUAAAUUAUUUAAUGAGAAAGGAAUACAAAUGUUUGCCAUUCCAUUUAUCAAAAGAGCAGAUGUUUUUUGUUUGAUUGGAGGUUUCUGUUUUUCCAAUUUUUGUGUUUUGAAAAAAAAAAUAUUGAAAAAAGUAGGAUGAUAAACCUAGAACAGUUUACAAUGAUUUUCAAAGUUAAUCUUUAUUGAUUUAUUGGUGUCUUUUAUUAGAUGUAUACAUGUUUAUUAGUGUGAUGUAGUGCAUUUCCGUGCGUAAAUGUGAUGUAUUUUAAUGGUCAUAAAUGAUAUAGUGUUUUAUAGUGAUAUUCAUAUGAUGUUUCAUAUUUUUCGGUGGUUAAAAGUGAUAUUAAUGUUCAGUGUGUUUUUAGUGAUUAAAAGUGAUAGUUGUAUGAUGUGGUAUGGCUGUGUUAGCCAGUUAUGUUGAAUGAUUUAAUUAAUAUCUUGCAGUCCGUAUAUAUCCAUUUCCAUUAUUUUUUCUAAAGUGCAAUAAAUAUUCUCCCAUACUUGCUAAGACAUUUGGGGCUCAAACAUUUCUUUUAUCAAUCAACAUGUUCAUUUCUUGUAUAUAGAUUUUCAUUAAAAGAUUUUUCACCAUUUAGAUUGUAUGAAUACUUUCAGGAGGGAUUGAGAAUAAUAUAAGAUUAAGAAUGAAAAUAUGACCAGGUAAUUCUGAAGACAAUUUGUGAUAAAAGUAAUUUAUUUUUCCAGAAAAAAUUUGUUUCAACCUUUUUCUCAAUGUGUAAAUUUUCUAUUGUUUGUAGUUUUAUGUCUUCAACAGAAAUUUGUGUAAAUAUCGCUUAAUGCUACUGAUAUGUGUGUAAUUGUUGCUUUCAAUGUUAUUUUGUUUUGGUCGCAUACAUGUUUUACUUGAAGUAUAUUUGAUUGAAUCCAAUCUUACAUGUAAUUGGUUCCACCAGUAGUUAAACCUACCAUUGUCUCAAGACUAAAGCAUUACAAAAAUGCUUAAUAAGAUAGAUGUAUUAGAGGUCAAUAUCACAACUUCACUUAAUUGGUAAAAAAGGCCCCUAGCAUUCAAAGUCUGAUCAACACUUAAAACAACAGAGUUUUUAUACAAAGUUAUUUUAAUUUUUUUUAAUUCUCCAUGUUUUAUAAUUUCAAAAUAAAAAAUAAAAUAAAAAAUAAUUCAAAAAAAUAUUUAACAUCAUUUUCGUUUUGAAACCUCAUCAAAUUUUAUUUUGAACAAUGCAGGGCCAAUAUUUAAGUUUGCUGAGCCUAAUCACUGCUGCACAUUGUAAUUGAAUAAUAGUUUAUAUCUCAUUGUAAACAAUAGUAAUCUGUUUGUUUUGCACAUUUACAAUGCAAGGUCUCCACACUGUUACAUGAACAUCUGGCUCUGUUAAAGUUCUCUCCCUUCCACUGAAAAACAGCUAUAGUUGUCUCCCUAUUCCAAUAAAUGUCGCCUAAGUAUCAUAUUAUUUUUAAAAUUGAUAUUUUCAACUUGAGAAAAGAUAAAAACCUUUAUUUUAAAUUUAUUUGAUUAAAUAUCCAAAAAUGGUGCAUUUUAAUUCACUAAUUUGGAAGAAAUAACAUUUUUUUGAGCUUGAACACAAUUGUAGUGGAAUUUCAAUUGACACAGGAGCAGUUUGUUUAUCGGUGUGCCCAUGGAUGUUUGUUUGAUGUA